UACGUAGGGUGCAAGCGUUGUCCGGAGUUACUGGGCGUAAAGCGCACGCAGGCGGUCUGCUAAGUUUGGAGUGACAGUUGGUGGCUUAACUGCCAAAGUGCUUCGAAAACUGACAGACUUGAGGGCUUCAGAGGGACACGGAAUUCCGGGUGGAGUGGUGAAAUGCGUAGAGAUCCGGAGGAACACCAAAGGCGAAAGCACUCUGCUGGGCCGACACUGACACUGAGAGACGAAAGCUAGGGGAGCAAAUGGG
RNAcentral lists this ribosomal RNA (253 nucleotides) under uncultured bacterium. RNAcentral describes it as "partial 16S ribosomal RNA". It matches the Rfam family "Bacterial small subunit ribosomal RNA", at positions 524 to 776 of the family's 1533-position model. The record is from RNAcentral.